UAGGCCAUUUGAAUAACUGAAAUUGUGGUGGGUAUCUGAAAUACCUCCACGCAAAUUCUGUGACAGCUUACACAAGGAUAUGCAUUGUCUUUCCCUAUUAUGGCUGUUGAACUUGUUAUGCAUUUUCAUUGUUACAUAGGAGGGUAGCAGUGGAGAGUAACUUAAAUGAGCAAGUAUUUCUUUUCUAUUUAAAUCAAAAGGAAUAUAUCAUACCCUUGGCUGAACACCAUAUACCUGACCCCAAAAUGUGACCAUUGUUUUUCUUUUGUAUUCUCAUGUUCUGAGAGAUAGUCAGAGAGAAAAGAAAGAGAGAGAGACAGAAAGAGAGGAAAGAAAGAAAGCAAGAAGACAGAAAGGAAGAAAGGAAGAGAGAGAAAGAAAGAAAGAAAGAAAGAAAGAAAGAAAGAAAGAAAGAAAGAAAGAAAGAAGGAAGGAAGGAAGGAAGGAAGGAAGGAAAGAAGGAAGGAAGAAAGAAAGGAAAGGAAGGAAGGAAGGAAGAAAGAAAGAAAGAAAGAAAGAAAGGAAGAAAGAAAGAAAGAAAGAAAGAAAAGCAAGACCUGUGAUUGGUAUGCUGAUGGUGGGAAAAUAGAAACUGAACUUUCAAAUAUAAUACUUUUUAAAAAGCCUUUUGUGAACCUAUAAAACAUAAGAUAAAUUAAAUCUAAUUUGCAUGCAAUUUGUCAUGUAUUUAGAGGUUGGUGGCAAUUAAAAAUGCAAUUUGCUUUUAACACUGUAUUUCCCUUUUAUGUACAUUAAAAAAAUACUUUGACACAUUUCUGUCAUGUUCAUGAGAUUACAAUAGUGCCCUCUAGUGGACAAAUGAAAUUAUACCUCAUAUAUUUGUAGGGUUUUCGUAAUUUUACACACAUGAGCUGACCUAUAUUUAAUUCAAAUAAGAAGGCAGUAAUGACACUUUGAGUAGGUAGAAAGCGUUGUGUUAUUUUAACGGGAAAGAGUUUGUGGAUGGGACAAUGUAUCUGAGUGAAUUUGCAUUUAGAAAGUAGUUUUCUUUCUCCCCAUUCUUUUCUUUCCCUCUCUUUCCUUCUAUUUUUUAAAAAUAUUCUUUUAACCAAUAAACCUUCAAUUUAACGUUAUAACGCAUAUAUGAAAUUGGGACUUGAAAGCUGAGGACAGAAAUGAAAUGUGUUAUUAUCAUCAAGUUUAAGGCCACUUUAGGAGGUUUUGCUUUGGUAGACAAAGCUAUUUUAGCAAACACAUUAUGCAGUCGUACCUCCUUAUAUUCUUUGAAUAUUGGUUGUCAGGGAAAUAGAAUAUCGGAAGCAUCUAACCUAGAAAUUCAUAAAGAUUUUUUCAUUGGUUGAUAGUCAACACUAAUAUUAGAAGGAGUAAAAAUAUCUGUGCAAUAUAAUAAUCUUACUUACAUUUUUAUCUCUGAAUGCA
Molecule: long non-coding RNA, 1401 nt
Filed under: Homo sapiens (human)
Lineage: Eukaryota; Metazoa; Chordata; Mammalia; Primates; Hominidae
Description: HSALNT0351104
Source: RNAcentral